UUAAUGUUUUGUAUUGAUUCAGACACAAACUAUUCUGCAUAAAUGCGGCGCCGGAGCGCCGAAGCACAUUUUGCUUCCACAGGUUUGAAGGGUUGAAGGCCAAAAGGCCAUUCAGUAAUGAUCCCUCCGCAGGUUCACCUACGGAGA
Molecule: unclassified non-coding RNA, 147 nt
Filed under: uncultured fungus
Lineage: Eukaryota; Fungi
Description: sequence contains ITS1
Source: RNAcentral